AAGAUAAUACUUUCAAGAAUCAAGAUUGUUCUAUAUAGCCCAUUACUAAAGGAGUUUCUCUGAACUUGUAGAGUGCUGCAGGCCAUGAGGAGGAGGGUCAGUGUUGUCUCCUGAGCAUGAAGCAGGCUCUUGUUGCUUUACUGCAACCACCAUGUACCACUGAUGACCAUUCUUCUCUUCCUCCAGGAGAGUAAGAGGGAAAGGAUGGAGUCUAAGUGGU
Molecule: small nucleolar RNA, 220 nt
Organism: Aotus nancymaae (Ma's night monkey)
Lineage: Eukaryota; Metazoa; Chordata; Mammalia; Primates; Aotidae
Gene: U3
Rfam family: Small nucleolar RNA U3
About the family: Small nucleolar RNAs (snoRNAs) are involved in the processing and modification of rRNA in the nucleolus. There are two main classes of snoRNAs: the box C/D class, and the box H/ACA class.
Source: Ensembl